UACGGAGGGUGCAAGCGUUAUCCGGAUUCACUGGGUUUAAAGGGUGCGUAGGCGGGCAUGUAAGUCAGUGGUGAAAUCUUUGGGCUUAACCCGAAAACUGCCAUUGAUACUAUAUGUCUUGAAUAUUGUGGAGGCUAGCGGAAUAUGUCAUGUAGCGGUGAAAUGCUUAGAGAUGACAUAGAACACCUAUUGCGAAGGCAGCUGGCUACGCAUAUAUUGACGCUGAGGCACGAAAGCGUGGGGAUCAAACAGG
RNAcentral lists this ribosomal RNA (253 nucleotides) under uncultured bacterium. RNAcentral describes it as "partial 16S ribosomal RNA". It matches the Rfam family "Bacterial small subunit ribosomal RNA", at positions 524 to 776 of the family's 1533-position model. The record is from RNAcentral.